AGAGUUUGAUCCUGGCUCAGGAUGAACGCUAGCUACAGGCUUAACACAUGCAAGUCGAGGGGAAACGAUAUUGGAAGCUUGCUUCCGAUAGGCGUCGACCGGCGCACGGGUGAGUAACGCGUAUCCAACCUGCCCACCACUUGGGGAUAACCUUGCGAAAGUAAGACUAACACCCAAUGAUAUCUCUAGAAGACAUCUGAAAGAGAUUAAAGAUUUAUCGGUGAUGGAUGGGGAUGCGUCUGAUUAGCUUGUUGGCGGGGUAACGGCCCACCAAGGCAACGAUCAGUAGGGGUUCUGAGAGGAAGGUCCCCCACAUUGGAACUGAGACACGGUCCAAACUCCUACGGGAGGCAGCAGUGAGGAAUAUUGGUCAAUGGACGAGAGUCUGAACCAGCCAAGUAGCGUGCAGGAAGACGGCCCUAUGGGUUGUAAACUGCUUUUAUAAGGGAAUAAAGUGAGAGUCGUGACUCUUUUUGCAUGUACCUUACGAAUAAGGACCGGCUAAUUCCGUGCCAGCAGCCGCGGUAAUACGGAAGGUCCGGGCGUUAUCCGGAUUUAUUGGGUUUAAAGGGAGCGUAGGCCGGAGAUUAAGCGUGUUGUGAAAUGUAGACGCUCAACGUCUGCACUGCAGCGCGAACUGGUUUCCUUGAGUACGCACAAAGUGGGCGGAAUUCGUGGUGUAGCGGUGAAAUGCUUAGAUAUCACGAAGAACUCCGAUUGCGAAGGCAGCUCACUGGAGCGCAACUGACGCUGAAGCUCGAAAGUGCGGGUAUCGAACAGGAUUAGAUACCCUGGUAGUCCGCACGGUAAACGAUGGAUGCCCGCUGUUGGUCUGAAUAGGUCAGCGGCCAAGCGAAAGCAUUAAGCAUCCCACCUGGGGAGUACGCCGGCAACGGUGAAACUCAAAGGAAUUGACGGGGGCCCGCACAAGCGGAGGAACAUGUGGUUUAAUUCGAUGAUACGCGAGGAACCUUACCCGGGCUUGAAUUGCAGAGGAAGGAUUUGGAGACAAUGACGCCCUUCGGGGCCUCUGUGAAGGUGCUGCAUGGUUGUCGUCAGCUCGUGCCGUGAGGUGUCGGCUUAAGUGCCAUAACGAGCGCAACCCCUCUCCUUAGUUGCCAUCAGGUUAAGCUGGGCACUCUGGGGACACUGCCACCGUAAGGUGUGAGGAAGGUGGGGAUGACGUCAAAUCAGCACGGCCCUUACGUCCGGGGCUACACACGUGUUACAAUGGC
This 1235-nucleotide ribosomal RNA is filed under the name metagenome. Its description in RNAcentral is "bacterial SSU rRNA". It matches the Rfam family "Bacterial small subunit ribosomal RNA", at positions 8 to 1234 of the family's 1533-position model. The record is from RNAcentral.